This 512-nucleotide ribosomal RNA is filed under the name uncultured Nitrospira sp. Its description in RNAcentral is "bacterial SSU rRNA". It matches the Rfam family "Bacterial small subunit ribosomal RNA", at positions 381 to 896 of the family's 1533-position model. Lineage: Bacteria; Pseudomonadati; Nitrospirota; Nitrospiria; Nitrospirales; Nitrospiraceae. The record is from RNAcentral.
GCCUGACGCAGCGACGCCGCGUGGGGGAUGAAGGUCUUCGGAUUGUAAACCCUUUCGGGAGGGAAGAUGGGAUGGGGUAACCCAUUCGGACGGUACCUCCAGAAGCAGCCACGGCUAACUUCGUGCCAGCAGCCGCGGUAAUACGAAGGUGGCAAGCGUUGUUCGGAUUUACUGGGCGUACAGGGAGCGUAGGCGGUUGGAUAAGCCCUCCGUGAAAUCUCCAGGCUUAACCUGGAAAGUGCAGAGGGGGACUGUUCAGCUAGAGGAUGGGAGAGGAGCGCGGAAUUCCCGGUGUAGCGGUGAAAUGCGUAGAGAUCGGGAGGAAGGCCGGUGGCGAAGGCGGCGCUCUGGAACAUUUCUGACGCUGAGGCUCGAAAGCGUGGGGAGCAAACAGGAUUAGAUACCCUGGUAGUCCACGCCUUAAACGAUGGAUACUAAGUGUCGGCGGGUUACCGCCGGUGCCGCAGCUAACGCAGUAAGUAUCCCGCCUGGGAAGUACGGCCGCAAGGUUG